RNAcentral lists this ribosomal RNA (460 nucleotides) under uncultured bacterium. RNAcentral's name for it is "partial 16S ribosomal RNA". It matches the Rfam family "Bacterial small subunit ribosomal RNA", at positions 338 to 795 of the family's 1533-position model. The record is from RNAcentral.
CCUACGUGUGGCAGCAGUGAGGAAUAUUGGUCAAUGGGCGGGAGCCUGAACCAGCCAAGUCGCGUGAGGGAAGACGGUCCUACGGAUUGUAAACCUCUUUUGCCGGGGAGCAACGGGGUCCUUGCGAGGGCCCAAUGAGAGUACCCGGAGAAAAAGCAUCGGCUAACUCCGUGCCAGCAGCCGCGGUAAUACGGAGGAUGCGAGCGUUAUCCGGUUUUAUUGGGGUUAAAGGGUGCGUAGGCGGGCUGUUCAGUCAGCGGGCAAAUGGUGGGGGUCAACCCCGGCCUGCCGUUGAAACGGGCUGCCUCGAGUGUGCUGGAAGUAUGCGGAAUGCGUGGUGUAGCGGUGAAAUGCAUAGAUAUCACGCAGAACUCCGAUUGCGAAGGCAGCAUACCGGCGCCCUACUGACGCUGAGGCACGAAAGCGUGGGUAUCGAACAGGAUUAGAUACCCCAGUAGUC